RNAcentral lists this long non-coding RNA (5858 nucleotides) under Lynx pardinus (Iberian lynx). Lineage: Eukaryota; Metazoa; Chordata; Mammalia; Carnivora; Felidae. The record is from RNAcentral.
CCUGGAGCUACAGUGUCAGCCCGGUAAAGGCCCCCCCAAGCCCCCCAAGCCCCCACCUCCUACCCUCACCUCUCGCAUCCCACAGCCCCUCACCCCUUCCCCUCAGGCCAUCCCAGACCCUGCUCUGCUCCCAUUGGCUGUGUGACCUUGGGGCAUGUCCCCCCAAGUUCAUUCCUCUUUCUAGGCCUCAGUUUACCCAUCUCUGAGAAGGGAACAGUCAUCCCUGCCUUUUUCUUUUUUUUUUUUUCCAGGUUUUUUUUCCAAGUUUCACUUAUUUAUUUUGAGAGAGAGAGAGAGAGAGAGAGAGAGAGCACAAGCGGGGGAGGGACAGAGCGAGAGAGAGGCGAAUCCCAAGCAGGCUCUGUGCUAGCAGCGAGGAGCCCAAUUCAGGGCUCGAACCCAGGCCCAUAAAUAAAUAGGCUCUUACAAAAAUAGAUAAAUAAUUAUUUAGUGUGACAUUUCACGUCCUUUGUCCCCUAUUAAAUCUUUAGGAACCAGUGUGCAUUUCACACUGCUGACACAUGUGAAUUCAGACUCUCUUAGGAGGUGUGUCAACAGUUGCUGGGGGAGGGGACUCACCAACUCUAAAGGAUCAAUGGGAAAUCACAUAAUCAGAAGAUAAUGAGAGACUACGCCCUGUGAAAACAUGACUUCUUCAGCAUAGUAAGGUUUACUCUGUGGCCAAGUACAUAAUCCGUUAUGUAACUGACCCUGUCUUAGGAGGAAAAGGGGGGCAAAAAAUAGAUUAUUUUUUGGCAGGAUCCGAGUUGAAUCUGUGUGUACAUUAUUUUCUCCCCACCUUACUAUGAUAUUAUUUGGAGGUUCCUGUCCUGGUAUCUGUUACUAGAUCUGUCAGAUUGUUUGGUUUUUAUUUCUGUUUUCGUUUAGUAUUCUCUAUACCACCCCCGGGGCUGGAACUCACAGCCCCAGGAUCAGGACUCACGCACUCCACUGGCUGAGCCCAUCUGGUGCCCUUGAGAGGGAUGGUUAAACACUACCUUUUGGGGCGCCUGGGUGGUUCAUUCGGUUAAGCGUCCGACUUCCGCUCAGGUCAUGAUCUCACAGCUUGUGAGUUUGAGCCCUUCAUCAGGCUCUGGACCGGUGGCUCAGAACCCGGAGCCUGCUUCGGAUUCUGUGUCUCCCUCUCUCUCCCUUUCUGCCCCUUCCCAGCUCGCGCUCUCUCUCCCUCUCUAGGAUAAACAUUAAAAAAAAAUUUUUUUAAGCUACCUUCCAUCCUAAUUUUCUGUUUCUCCCCACACUUCCAAUCAUUUUGCCAUCUAAAUCAAGCUUCAUUUGUCAUUGGUACUUACAUUUAUGACUAUCCAUUCAUUUGACCACAUUUUAUGAACCAUGUCCUUGGUGACGACACAGCCCAGAGCAAGACCAAGUGCUUGCACAUGGGGGGCUGAUAUACUAAUUGAGGAGAAAGACGAUAAACAUGUAAGGAUAAUAAUUAAAGAGGAAAACAGCUGAGUAUAAGGACCCCUAUGCAGGCAAAUUACAACAGGGUGAUGGAAGCAUGGUCUGAGGUGGUUGGCUGGAAAGUCACUGAAAGUUGAGAAUGAGGGAACAGCCGGUGCAAAGGCCCUGAGGCAGAAACCUGCCUAUGUGUUUAAGGAAGAGUGAAGGGACACAUGUGGCUGGAGCCCAGUGGGUGAAGGGAAGAGAGAAUGGGGUGAGCGUGUACAGGGAAGGGUCUUUGGCCGUUUUAUUAUCUGCCCAUUUGUCAAUUUGUCAUUUGGCCAGAUAUUUAAUUUAUGAAAUUAAGCUAUUAUAAUGUUACUUAAUGAGCACUAAGUAGUAGGGUCUGGCAAUAAAUAAGACAGAUAAGGUUCCUGUCACCCGCAUGGAGCUCACAGCCGAUUGGAGGAAAAAGAGGAAUAAACAAAUCAAUACAUAAGCCCUAGAAAUAUAUUUCUCCAGGGGCUCCUGGGGGGCUCAGUCGGUUGAGCGUCCGACUUUGGCUCAGGUCAUGAUCUCGCGGUUCACGGGUUCGAGCCCCGCGUCGGGCUCUGUGCUAAUGGCUCAGAGUCUGGAGCCUGCUUCGGAUUCUGCGUCUCCCUCUCUCUCUCUCGGUCCCUCCCCUGCUCUGCCCUGCUCUGCCCUUCUCUGACCCAGCCCUUCUCCUCACUCCCCCAGCCUCCUCUCUCCCGGCAGACUCCUCCACCCCACUGCCCCCAAGGAGCCCCAGGGCCUUGGAGGCCACAGCCCUGCCAGCCCCUCAGGCCCCUCUGCUGCUCCUCCUGCUGCUGUUGCCUGUGGCUCUCUUGCUGAUGUCUGCUGCCUGGUGCCUGCACUGGCGAAGGAGGAGAUGGAGAACGCCCUACCCCAGGGAGCAGGUGAGCCAGCAGAACGGACAGAGGGCUUGGGGAGGUCUGAGGGGAUGACACUGACCCUGUGGAGGCCACAGGCGCUUACGCCUCCAGGCUCCGGGAUGUGCUGCCCCUGUGGCUCGUGGAGCAUUGACUCGGUUCGGUGAAUCCUUCACCAAGCCCAGCACUCUGGACUUUGUGUGUGUGUAGGGCAGGGGGGGGAGGGGGGGAGUAUGCUCCGGAUGAGGAAGACCACUCUGGGGCCAUGACGACCGGACAGACCGGAUGCUGGGCGAGGGUCCCGGGAGAGAGGACAAGGCCUGAGUCAGGGCCAGGACUGGCACCAUGGGGAUGGAGAGAAGGGGAAAGGCAGUUUCAAGAGUCAGGGAUCAAGAAGGACAGGGCGGGGGCACCUGCGUGUGGCUCAGUCAGUGGAGCACGCGAUUCUUGAUCUCGGGUUGUGAGUUCGAUCCUCACGUUGGGUGUAGCGAUUACUUAAAACGAAAACCUUAGGGGGCACCUGGGUUGCUCAGUUGGUUACGUGUCGAACUUCAGCUCAGGUCAUGAGCUCACAGUUCAUGCGUUCGAGGCUCGCAUCGGGCUCUGUGCGUGCUGACAGCUCAGAGCCUGGAGCCUGCUUGGGAUUCUGUGUGCGUGCGCGCGCGCGCGUGUGUGUGUGUGUGUGUGUGUGUGUGCGUGUGUGUGUGUCUGCCCCUCCCCCACUGGCACUCUGCUCUGUCUCUCAAAAAAUGAAGAAACAUUAAAAAAAAUUUUAAAUAAAAUAAAAUAGGGGCACCUGGGUGGCUCAGUCGGUUAAGCGUCUGACUUCGGCUCAGGUCACGAUCUCACGGUUUGUGAGUUCAAGCCCCGCAUCGGGUUCUGUGCUGACAGCUCAGAGCCUGGAGCCUGGGUCAGAUUCUGUGUCUCCCUCUCUCUCUGCCCCUACCCCCACCUGUGCUCUGUCUCUCUCUAUCAAAAAUAAAUAAAUGUAAAAAAAAAAAUAAAAGAUAAAAUAAAAUAAAAUCUUUAAAAAGCACAUCUUUAAAAAACAAGACAAAAAGAACAGGGCUGCAGGUUGACAGGCUUGGGCAGGUGGCACAGAGGACCCUGGGUCUGGCCCAGUGGGGAACCUGAGGGACAAGGGAGAUUAGGGAAAGAGAGUGAGCUCAGCGGGGACCUGGGUGCAUGAGGGGGCCCCAGGGGAGACAUUUGGCUACAGGAGUCUGCAAGCCAGGAGAGAGUAACCUCCUGAAGCAGGCGGAGGGGACCAUCUUUGCAAAGACUUCCAGGUGUGAAAAAGCUGUGAGCGGAGUGUGGGUGUGAAAAUCUAGGCCUCAAACACCAAGCAAGGGAGCUGGGACUUCCUGUCCAGGGUAGCAGGGAACCAGGGGAGGUGAGUGAUGGAAAAAAGAAGGUGAGAACAGGUGUGAAGGCAGGAGGCAGGUGGGCCAGGAGGGAGAAAGGACAGAAAGCCUUAGUGGGUUCCUGAUGGGCCCAGAGGACUCUAAGAAGCAGUUUGCAGUAAUUGUUCACACAUAUAAUGCCUUAGAGUUACGGCCCUUAUGCUGGGGCUUUCUACGAAUUAACCUACUUAAUUCAGAAGCUAGUGUCAUUUUUAUUUUGUUUCACAGAGGCUGAAACCAAGGCACAGAGAAGUAAAUAAUUUGCCGAAAGUCACACAGCACAUGAGUGACAGAGGCAAGACUUGACUCUGGGCUUUCUGGGCAUCUAAGCCUUUCCCUCUUCUGCCUCAGUUUCCUUAUCUGUACAAAAGACUCUAAUAAUAUUCUUUCUACCAUAGAGUUGUCUGGAGGUUAAGUGGCACACACAAAGCCCUCAGAGCAAGGCUGUCCAACAGAAAUAGAACACAAGCCACACAUGUCAUUUAAAACUUUCUAAUAGUUGGGGCACCUGGCUCUCUCAGUCAGUAGAGCAUGUAACUCUUGAUCUCAGGGUUGUGAGUUCGAGCCCCACAUUGGGCAUGUAGAUUACUUAAAAAAAAAAAAACAACUUUCUAGUAGCCACAUUUUUUUAAUUAAAUUUAAUUUUUUUUAGCGUUUAUUCAUUUUGAGAGGAGAGGGGAGGGGCAGAGAGAAAGGGAGAGAGAGAGAAUCCCAAGCAGGCUCCACACUGUCAGCGUGGAGCCCCAUGCAGGGCUCGAUCUCACAAACUGUGAGAUCAUGAUCUGAGCUAAAAUCAAAAGUCAGACGCUUAACACCCAGGCGUCCUGUAGCCACAUGUUUUUAAGUAAAAAGAAACAGGUAACUUUAAUAUAUUUUGUCUCACCCUGUGUAUCCAAGAUGUUGUCAUUUCAACAUGUAAUCAAUAUUUUUAAAAAUUAUUGAGGUAGUUUACUCAUUUUUUUAAAUGUUUAUUUUUGAGAGAGAGAGCAUGAGUGGGGUAGGGGCAGAGAGAGGAGGAGACACAGAAUCUGAAGCAGGCUCCAGGCUCCGAGCUGUCAGUACAGAGCCCGACGUGGGGCUUGAACUCCCGAACUUGGAGAUUAUGACCUGAGCUGAAGUCGGACACUCAACCCACUGAGCCACCCAGGUGCCCCAAGAUAGUUUACUCAUUCUUUCAUACCAAGUCUUUAAAAUCCAGUGUGCAUGCGACACUAAAUUUUUAUUAGAAAUGCUUCAUCUGUAGGGGCGCCUGGGGGGCUCAGUCGGUUAAGCGUCUGACCGGCUCAGGCCAUGACUUCACGGUUUGUGGGUUUGAGCCCUGCAUGGGGGGGUGGGGGGGAUGUGGUGACAGGUGUGGGGGUUGUGGAGCCUGGAGCCUGCUUGGGAUUCUGGGUCUCCCUCUCUCUCUGUUCCUCCCCUGCUCUGUCUCUGUCUCUCUCAAAAAUAAAUAAAGAUUUAAAAAAAAAAAAAAAAGAUCAUGACUUGAGCCCAAGUUAGACGCUUAACCAACAACUGAGCCGUCCAGGCACCCCUACAAUUUUUUUUUUUAAGGCCAUCCAUUGAGUUUUCCUCCCAUCCUUGCUCCUAUCCACUCUGCUUCCUGCUCUCCUAAGAAAUACACCACUGCCUAAGUUUAAAUUAGGUAAAAUGUAACAAUCAGCUCCUUAGUUGCCUUGGAAUGCUCACCUUCACAUGGGGCUACCUUGUGGCUGUGUUGGGAGAGCUCAGAUCCCGCUGCUCCCAUCACUGUCUGAGAGAACCGUCUUGUCUCGGACAGCGAUGCCCUAACACAGCGAGCGCUCACUGCAAAUGGAAUUGUUUUCAGUAGCCCUGCACUUGAUCCUCUCCUCUCCUCUCUCCACGGACCCCCCAAGCAGCCCCGUGAGACAGACACAUGUAUCAUCCCGUUUACAGAGGAAGACACUGAGGCCCAGAGAGAGGAAUCACCUGCCCGAGGACACAGAGCCGGGACUCGGAGAAAGUCAGCUAGAGACUGGUUCCUUCCUCGACCACGCUGCCCCGCUCACUCUCCCCCCAGGAUGGAGGCAACGCCAGCCCCCAACGCCAGCCCCAGACCCACCUAUCCCCCUCUGUACAAAGUCCUUGUCCCCAGGAAAUUGUAUAUAAAUCAUCCUUUUCUACC